RNAcentral lists this ribosomal RNA (468 nucleotides) under uncultured bacterium. Its description in RNAcentral is "partial 16S ribosomal RNA". It matches the Rfam family "Bacterial small subunit ribosomal RNA", at positions 28 to 507 of the family's 1533-position model. The record is from RNAcentral.
GACGAACGCUGGCGGCGUGCUUAACACAUGCAAGUCGAACGGAAAGGCCCUGCUUUUGUGGGGUGCUCGAGUGGCGAACGGGUGAGUAACACGUGAGUAACCUGCCCUUGACUUUGGGAUAACUUCAGGAAACUGGGGCUAAUACCGGAUAGGAGCUCCUGCUGCAUGGUGGGGGUUGGAAAGUUUCGGCGGUUGGGGAUGGACUCGCGGCUUAUCAGCUUGUUGGUGGGGUAGUGGCUUACCAAGGCUUUGACGGGUAGCCGGCCUGAGAGGGUGACCGGCCACAGUGGGACUGAGAUACGGCCCAGACUCCUACGGGAGGCAGCAGUGGGGAAUAGUGCACAAUGGGCGGAAGCCUGAUGCAGCAACGCCGCGUGCGGGAUGACGGCCUUCGGGUUGUAAACCGCUUUCGCCUGUGACGAAGCGUGAGUGACGGUAAUGGGUAAAGAAGCACCGGCUAACUACGUG